GACGAACGCUGGCGGCGUGCUUAACACAUGCAAGUCGAACGGAAAGGCCCUGCUUUUGUGGGGUGCUCGAGUGGCGAACGGGUGAGUAACACGUGAGUAACCUGCCCUUGACUUUGGGAUAACUUCAGGAAACUGGGGCUAAUACCGGAUAGGAGCUCCUGCUGCAUGGUGGGGGUUGGAAAGUUUCGGCGGUUGGGGAUGGACUCGCGGCUUAUCAGCUUGUUGGUGGGUAGUGGCUUACCAAGGCUUUGACGGGUAGCCGGCCUGAGAGGGUGACCGGCCACAUUGGGACUGAGAGACGGCCCAGACUCCUACGGGAGGCAGCAGUGGGGAAUAUUGCACAAUGGGCGGAAGCCUGAUGCAGCAACGCCGCGUGCGGGAUGACGGCCUUCGGGUUGUAAACCGCUUUCGCCUGUGACGAAGCGUGAGUGACGGUAAUGGGUAAAGAAGCACCGGCUAACUACGUG
This 467-nucleotide ribosomal RNA is filed under the name uncultured bacterium. RNAcentral describes it as "partial 16S ribosomal RNA". It matches the Rfam family "Bacterial small subunit ribosomal RNA", at positions 28 to 507 of the family's 1533-position model. The record is from RNAcentral.